ACGAACGCUGGCGGCGUGCCUAAUACAUGCAAGUAGAACGCACAGUUUAUACCGUAGCUUGCUACACCAUAGACUGUGAGUUGCGAACGGGUGAGUAACGCGUAGGUAACCUGCCUGGUAGCGGGGGAUAACUAUUGGAAGCGAUAGCUAAUACCGCAUAAUAUUAAUUAUUGCAUGAUAAUUAAUUGAAAGGUGCAAUUGCACCACUACCAGAUGGACCUGCGUUGUAUUAGCUAGUAGGUGAGGUAACGGCUCACCUAGGCGACGAUACAUAGCCGACCUGAGAGGGUGAUCGGCCACACUGGGACUGAGACACGGCCCAGACUCCUACGGGAGGCAGCAGUAGGGAAUCUUCGGCAAUGGACGAAAGUCUGACCGAGCAACGCCGCGUGAGUGAAGAAGGUUUUCGGAUCGUAAAGCUCUGCUGUAAGAGAAGAACGGGUGUGAGAGUGGAAAGUUCACACUGUGACGGUAUCUUACCAGAAAGGGACGGCUAACUACGUG
This 504-nucleotide ribosomal RNA is filed under the name uncultured bacterium. RNAcentral's name for it is "partial 16S ribosomal RNA". It matches the Rfam family "Bacterial small subunit ribosomal RNA", at positions 29 to 507 of the family's 1533-position model. The record is from RNAcentral.